GCCUGGGUGGCUCAGUCGGCUGAGCAUCCGACUUGGGCUUAGGUCCUGAUCUCACCUCUGUGGGUUCAAGCCCCACAUCAGGCU
Molecule: transfer RNA, 84 nt
Filed under: Felis catus (domestic cat)
Lineage: Eukaryota; Metazoa; Chordata; Mammalia; Carnivora; Felidae
Rfam family: tRNA
About the family: Transfer RNA (tRNA) molecules are approximately 80 nucleotides in length. Their secondary structure includes four short double-helical elements and three loops (D, anti-codon, and T loops). Further hydrogen bonds mediate the characteristic L-shaped molecular structure. tRNAs have two regions of fundamental functional importance: the anti-codon, which is responsible for specific mRNA codon recognition, and the 3' end, to which the tRNAs corresponding amino acid is attached (by aminoacyl-tRNA synthetases). tRNAs cope with the degeneracy of the genetic code in two manners: having more than one tRNA (with a specific anti-codon) for a particular amino acid; and 'wobble' base-pairing, i.e. permitting non-standard base-pairing at the 3rd anti-codon position.
Source: Rfam by way of RNAcentral